UAAGCCAGGUUGCGCCUGCGCAGCCCACUGAGGCGGGAACGUGGGUAACCCUUGGCUGUAGGGCGAGUGCCGUGUGACACUGCGGACGGAUGAGGGCGAAGGAGAUGCGGAGGAACUGGUGGUGACUGGCUGACGGAAAUGAUUGGCUGGUGGAAAAAGCCGUUCCAGAUCUCGCCUUCGUGUGGGCGGGGAACCAGCUGAAGAGGGAAUCAGCCCUUCGGUGGCGGGGCAGGGGGCGGAGCCGAGGGGAGGUCUCGCGGGAGACCAUUUUGGCGGGCGCGGGAGGCGGGCGCGGGCGGAGGGCGCAGGACCUGUGCUGGAGCGUUCUGGCCCGUGUCCCGCGUGGGGAGCUUGGCGGGCGUCGGGCUGGCCGGCAGUGGGUAGAGCUGCAGAGUGUGGGGCGGCGUCCGGCGUUGUUGCUCCCCGGCUCCGUCAGACUGGUGUCAGGGCCCCCACCCCGAAACUGAAUCGGAGCGACUGGGUGAUGCCCCUGACAGUUUUGAAAGCCUUCUCAGGCGAAUCUGAUGCUCGGCCAAGGUUGAAGCCCAGCCCGCGUGGUUCCCUCAGCGUACGGGGUAACCCCAGGUUGGCCAGUGCGGGGAGGGUCGUCAGCUUUGCGAGUCUAGGCUUUGUCCGAUCCCCCACUCACAUCUGGGGUUAGAUGCCAAGUGACCAGCGAGGGCGGACACUCCUCGUAGACGUCCACUCUGGAGAAGUGAGAUUGGGCGUUUGCUUGGGGAGCGGGACUGCAGGACUGGGGAGCAAUCCUCUGGUCCUGCAAGUUGAGUCCGUUGAGUGCUGUCUGUGCUCGAGGAACUUGGCUGGUUCUUAGGCACUCAGCUUACAGUUAUCCCGAUGCAGUUCUCUAAUUUAUCUGUUACUCAAGUAGCACUAAAUAUCUGGGUUUCUUUUACAGACCAUUUCUUAGGAUGGUGUAAGUCAAUGGCAGAGCUCAUCUAUUGAACUUUAUUCAUUUUCCGUUUUGGGGUUUUGGUAGAUGGCUUUUACCUUAUUCUUAAAUUCUGAUGGUAUCUUACGGGAGCCACAUAUAUGGAAUUAGAGAAUCUCUAAUUUCUUAUUAACAGUUUUCUUGAGAUGUAAUUUACAUACCAUGAAAUUAACCUGUUUUGAGUGUACAAUUCAAUGAUUUUUAACAUAUUUAAAGAGCUCUGCAACCAUCACCAUAAUGGAAUUAGGCGAUUUUUUUUUUUUCCUGAUAAUUGCCUUUACAAGUCUCAAAAGUUUGUCUAGGUGGGCAUUUUGGAAAUACAACCUAAGAGCCUCUGAAAAUCUACGCUCAAGUCGUGUUAUACCUGAGCAGGUGAAAUUAAGAGAAGAAUUGAAGCAAAUGUUCCUAGAAGUUGCAGAAUUCAAGGAGAUGAGGAGGAACCAGGAAGGAAGAUCGAAAAGACGAGUCCAUUGUGUUAGGAGGAAAACAGGAAGAAGAAAAGAGAUCUGAGUGAAGACACUGCAAGCAAAGAAGUGGGGGCUUACUAGGAACUGAAUUGACUGGUACCUUGAUCUUGGACUUCCCAGUCUCCAGAACUGUGAGAAAUAAAUGUUUGUUGUUUAAGUCAUCCAAUCUAUGGUAUUUUGUUAGCAGCCCUCACCUUGUUAGAUGAUAAAGUCAGGUUUUCUAAUAGAAUGUAUAGUAUGAUCUGUUAUCUUAAUAUAUCCAUAGGAGGACUGUCUAAUCACACUAUCAAGAGUUACUUCCUCAUUUCCCUUCCCUGAUCACGGUUACAUUAUUCUUUUCUAUCUGCAGCACUUAUGACUAUCUAAAAGUAUUUUAUUAAUUUUUAUACUUAUUUACUGUCCUUCUUGUCAUAGGAGGUAAGUUCUAUAAGGUUUUUGCCUCUGUCUCUUUUCUUUGUAUCCCCAGUGCAGGAGUAUAUAAUUUUUAGAUACAUUGUUUUACGUGAAAAACCCAAACAGACAGUAUUCCUGUAGUGGUUUUAAAAUGAGACCAUAAAUUCUUUGAUACUCUUUCCUUCAAAGCGUGGUGGCUAAUUCCCCUCCUUUUGAGUGUGGGCUGGAUUUAGUAACUAGCUUCUAAUGAGUAGAAUAUGGCAGCAGUGGAGGCAUGUCUGUAGGUCAUAAAAGGCAUCAUGACUUCCUCCUUGCUCCCUCUCUUGGAUCAUUCAUUCUGGUAAACCAGCUGCCCUAUCCUGAGGACAUAUCAAACAGUGCUUUGGAGAGGCCCUUGUGGCAAGAAACUGAGGCGUGCUCCCAAUAGCCAGGGAAGAACUGAAACAUCCUGCCAACAGUCAUGUGAAUGAGCUACCUUAGAAGCAUUUUUUUCCAGCCCCAGUCAUACCUUCGGAUGUUUGCAUCUCCACGUGACAACUUGACGGCAAUGUCACAGGAGACCCUGAACCAGAUCACUCAAGAAUAGACAAUGGAAUUAUUAUUUAUGCUUCUUCCCUGAAGGGCACAGAAAUACAAAAUCUUAGAAGUGGAUGCAAUAUUAAAGUUCAUAUACCAAGUUUUCAGUCAACAUUCUUUACAGCAACAGUGUUGUCCCCAUACCAGCCAUGGAGGAAGCUGUGAAAGAGAGGAUUCAGGAAAUUGGUGCAAAUGAGCCAUCUUGGAAGUCUAGAAAGGAAGAUCUUCAUAGGAAAUUCAGAUGCUCACUCAGCAAAUAGAGCAGCUGCCCAUCUUUAUGAAUAAAGUGUUUAUGAAUCAUCCCAGGCUGAAAAAAGUAUAGGGAACAAUAAAGACCCUUGAUAUAUCUGAA
Long non-coding RNA from Aethalodelphis obliquidens (Pacific white-sided dolphin), 2737 nucleotides. RefSeq lists it as uncharacterized. The transcript is spliced from 7 exons. Lineage: Eukaryota; Metazoa; Chordata; Mammalia; Artiodactyla; Delphinidae. The record is from RefSeq and is a predicted model, not a curated record.